This 372-nucleotide ribosomal RNA is filed under the name uncultured organism. Its description in RNAcentral is "bacterial SSU rRNA". It matches the Rfam family "Bacterial small subunit ribosomal RNA", at positions 526 to 896 of the family's 1533-position model. The record is from RNAcentral.
CGAAGGGUGCAAGCGUUACUCGGAAUUACUGGGCGUAGAGCGUGCGUAGGUGGUUCGUUAAGUCUGAUGUGAAAGCCCUGGGCUCAACCUGGGAAUGGCAUUGGAAACUGGCGACCUAGAGUGCGGUAGAGGGUAGUGGAAUUCCCGGUGUAGCAGUGAAAUGCGUAGAGAUCGGGAGGAACAUCCGUGGCGAAGGCGACUACCUGGACCAGCACUGACACUGAGGCACGAAAGCGUGGGGAGCAAACAGGAUUAGAUACCCUGGUAGUCCACGCCCUAAACGAUGCGAACUGGAUGUUGGGUGCAACUAGGCACUCAGUAUCGAAGCUAACGCGUUAAGUUCGCCGCCUGGGGAGUACGGUCGCAAGACUG